This 72-nucleotide microRNA precursor is filed under the name Medicago truncatula (barrel medic). Its description in RNAcentral is "MIR2629 microRNA precursor family". It matches the Rfam family "MIR2629 microRNA precursor family". Lineage: Eukaryota; Viridiplantae; Streptophyta; Magnoliopsida; Fabales; Fabaceae. The record is from Rfam by way of RNAcentral.
AGGGCCUGAUUUCCUCGGUAGUUAACUGCAACCGGUUUUCUAAAACUUCGGCGGUUAACUGCCGAUGGGCAU